ACCAGGAUGGCCGAGUGGUUAAGGCGUUGGACUUAAGUUCCAAUGUUCGGAUGCACGCGUGGGUUCGAACCCCACUCCUGGUA
Molecule: non-coding RNA, 83 nt
Organism: Nematostella vectensis (starlet sea anemone)
Lineage: Eukaryota; Metazoa; Cnidaria; Anthozoa; Actiniaria; Edwardsiidae
Source: Rfam